RNAcentral lists this ribosomal RNA (271 nucleotides) under Promalactis polyspina. RNAcentral's name for it is "partial 28S ribosomal RNA". It matches the Rfam family "Eukaryotic large subunit ribosomal RNA", at positions 100 to 353 of the family's 3401-position model. The record is from RNAcentral. Lineage: Eukaryota; Metazoa; Arthropoda; Insecta; Lepidoptera; Oecophoridae.
GGAAAUAGCCCAGCACUGAAUCCCGCGGUUGUCACGGCCGCGGGAGAUGUGGUGUUCGGGAGGUUCCGCUUUCUCGUCGUCGCGUCUCCUGUCCAAGUUCGUCUUGAACGGGGCCGUUUUCCCGUAGAGGGUGCCAGGCCCGUAGCGACGGAGGGCGGCGGCGAGAGGGACACUCCUCAGAGUCGGGUUGCUUGAGAGUGCAGCCCUAAGUGGGUGGUAAACUCCAUCUAAGGCUAAAUAUUACCGCGAGACCGAUAGCGAACAAGUACCG